Equus caballus (horse) is the source of this 4821-nucleotide long non-coding RNA. NCBI's taxonomy places the organism in Eukaryota, Metazoa, Chordata, Mammalia, Perissodactyla, Equidae. The record is from Ensembl.
CUCGCCGGCUCGGCUUGGCUCGCGCCUUCGGCCCCGGGCUCGAGGCGCGGGGUCUGCGCGCGGCGGGGGCUGCGGAGGAGCCGGAGCACCGGGCGGUGCGGGGACGUGCGGCGGCGGCGAGACCGAGCCGCGCCGCGUGCGAGGCAAAGCUGUCCUUAUACUGACACCAAAUGUCUUCGGGGAAAGCUGCAGGCGCGGGACGCUGGAGGGGGGAGGCGUGGAGGCGACAGACAGACUGACGGCGGCGGCUGAGUUACCAUCUGCGUUUCGCAAAAGAGGAAAGUGAGGCUCAAAGGAGAGAAAGUGACUUGCCCAAGGCCACAUGGCAGAUGAGGAAACUGAGGCACAGGCAGAUCCACUGGGGACAGAAAGAUCAUCCUGCCUCCACUUUUUAGACAUCCAUAUCCCCCUUGCAAGGAAGAACAGCAUAAAGUCAAAUGGCUUCAGGAUUAGUGUAAGGGAACCUUCAGCCUGAAGAAUUGAGCCUGCACAAGACUUGAAGGUCCCUCCCGCGCCGUCUUUUGGCUCCUUGUCCAGAGUCAGAGCAGAGGUUAGAACUCGGUGGGGCUAGAGACGUGUUGACCCCAUACAGGGAGGGGUUCAAGACAUGGCUUCAUUAGGCAUCCCGGAAAUGCAUCUGGAGUGCAGACCCCAUUCCCUGAUGUCCUGUAUAUUAAUUCACUGGAUCCCCAGGACGACCCUGCAAGAGAGGCCUAUGACAUUAUCCCUGUUUCGAAGAUGGAGAAACUGAGGCCAAGAAGGGGAAAUGACUUCCACAAGGUUACGCAGCUCCCUUCCCCUGAAGACCCAGCGUUGGGGCAGGAGACCCCCAAGCUGUGGGUGAGAUGCCCAGAGCUCUGAGAGGGGGAGGAGGGGAGCUUCCAGGCAGGCCCCAGCUUGGUCUGGGAGGAUCAGGAGAUGCAGACAGGCUCCCCCUCCCCACCCCCAGACUCCAGUUGCCUUGACAACAGGGCCUCUAUUCCAGGCAUUUGUUGGAAAUUUGCAUUUUAAUGGAGAUGUAAUUAGAAUUAAAAAGCUGAGGUUGGAAGGGACAGAACCCUCCCCCGCCCCCUGGGAGCCAGAAGCCCCCUCCCCUCCCAGAGCCCUCCUGUGACACUUUCUCUACCACCAAACUCCUAGUGUCUGUCCCCACUGCCAAGAUGGGGACUCUGAGGCCCUGAGCAAAGAAGGGACUCGUUCAAGGUCUCACAGUGAGGCCAGUGCCCAGAGUCUGGGCUCCAUCCACUCUGCCUAAGGACCCCCUAAGCCCUUCCUACCAGGAGGUCUCCGUACAGGGUGGCAGUGGGGAGGGGCGUUGGCUUGCUGAGGGCGCCCAAGUCCUCCCCGAGUCUUCCAAGCUCCCCUCUUUCUCCCUGUAACCUCUGGACAUCUCAGUGGCCUUGGGGGCCUGGCGGAGCCGGGGGACCCCUCCCGUCCUGCCCCAGAGGGAACUGAGGCCCUAGAAGGAAGGGAUGUGCACACAGCGACUCAGUGGCAGAGCUGGGUCUUUGGCUGGUCAGGGUUGAGUCAUUAAAAGGACUCCACCUUUGACGCCCACCCAGAGUCAUCGUCCGACCCCAGAUCCCCAGGAAGAAUUUCCAGCAGCUUCUUCCUGUGUCUUUACUAAGUUCUUAAAUCAGUCCUGCCAACAAUUUUAUCUUUUCAAACUGUUGAAAAGAAGCCACCCUUCUCUGCCUGGCCCUCCCAGAUGGUCCUCCCUGAGGCCUAUUUGUGGGGACCACCCUUAACCCCACAAACCCUGGGGUCACAAACACAGGCCGUCAGGGGGCAGCAGAGGCUCACACUUGCUGAGAGUGUAACACAAAUGUGUAAGCACCACCAGGCCCAGACAGAGGCCCUCGUUCACUCAAAUCUGCUUUCCUGCAUGCAGCCUGUCUCCUAGUGUGUGCCCAGCAGAUGUUUGUUGAGUGAAUAUAUGAUUAAGGGCCAGGCCAAGUGCUCAGCACAUUCCAUGCAACCUCUCAUUGCACCUUCCAACAGACCUGUGAGGGAGACACUGCCAGCCCCCACUAAACCCUCCACGAAGCUCAGAGAGGUGAUAUAACCUCCUCAGGUCACACAGCUGGUAAGUGGCAAAGGCUUCAUUUAAAUGUACACCUGCUGACUCCAGGCUCUUGAGCAUCAUUCUCUGUGGCCUCAAACUCCCCGUGUGCUGAUCACAAGAGCAUGGAGCUCUAGCAGCUACAUACAUGGCAGGUCACGCACACAGAUGUGGGCACAGGUCCCACGGGCACACAGCUGGGCCACAUGGCAAUCAUUUAUUUACGAACAUUCAGUGCUUACUCUGUGCACAGUGUGCUUUUCCAAGUGCUUUGCAGUCAAUCCUCACAGCAACCCUAGGAGGUGGGGACUAUUAUUAUAAUCAACUCACAGAUGAGGAAAUCAGGCAAGAGAGGUUACGUGACUUACCCAAGGUCACACAGCUAGUGAAUGAAAAAGCCAGAAUUUGAACCUGCACAGAACCCAUGCUCCCUCUAGACGUUGGGACCCAGGAGCCAGGGGCUCUGGGCACCCCUCCCCCCCCAGCCUUGGGAGGAGGGCUGGACAAUAUUUCUCAAAGCCCAGUUCACAGAGGAGGAAACAGGCCCAGAGAAGGAAGGCGGCUUGCUUUUGGGCACACAGCUGUGCAAGCCCAGUCUGUCGAACCCAGAGCCUCUGUGUGAGCCCCAGACCCCUGGGGAUGCCCCCAGCCUGCCCAUCUCCCAUCUCCCAUCUCCCACCGCCUUACAAUCCCCUCCUCCAUGCAGGAGGAUGCUGGCCCAGGAAACUGAGGAGUGAUUGCCUGGUGACAGUGUGGUCAGAAGGAAACAGACACGAAACACAGCAUCACCUUUUAGAACAGAAAGCUCGAGAGACCCUGAGCAGGUUGGAGGAGGGGAGAUGAGAGGGUGAGAGGAGCCCACUCCCCCAUCAAUAGUCAAUUUAGAGCCGGAUGGUGCGGAAACGGAUUUUCUCUUGAGCUUUCAUAUAAAUGCACUUCAAAGCCACUGAUGGCGGAGUCGGAGGUGAGCAGGAGAGAGGGAGAGAGGACUGAGCGGUAAUGCAGAGCAGGGCGCAGAGAAGGGAGAGGUGCGCACACACGCAGACUCGCAACCCGCAGUCGGAAAAGGCAACUGGAAAUUCCAUUUGGGUUUUCACUUUGAAGGUGGAGAGAGGCCAGGAGCUUAGGGGACAGGGGCUGACUGAGGAAGAGAUGGAAAGAGAGAGGACAGAAACACAGGAAGACAAGAGUCAGAGGUGGGGAUAAGGAGAUAAAGAGACCCAGAAAGAAAGGUGGAGAAAAGCAAAAAUGACAAGAUCCCAGGUGUUCCCCAAACGCACGAGUCAAAAAGGCCACACACACACCCCGCCAUGCACACUCACACCCACACUUGCACAUACUCGUGCACAUUCUUGCUCAGGACUCCAAGACCUGGGUUCUAGUCCUGACUCUGCUCUUGAAAUGCUGUGGGACCUUGCAGAAGACCCUGCCUCCCUCUGAGCCCUGGGUGCCCCUGAGGCCUAGUGAGGUUGAGCUGGGGCCAGGAAGGCCAGGAAGGAGACAGGGAUGAGGCAUGCGGGCGACCAGGACUAGGACGGCAGAACCCUCACUGUGGUGUGGCUCCUGUAUGGCCCAGGGCCCCAGCUAGCAGGCACCGAGGGCCCCCAGGAAGGGCUGCGGGCAGGCAGGGCCCCAGGCUGCACAUCCACACGAGGAAACAGCUCAGAGCAGGAAGGCAGCUCUUCCCACGUCUUACAACCAGGACAGGAACCCACCUGUGAGGCUUCCUGACCGCCCUUCCCUAGGGAGAGGGGCAGAGCAGGAGGGCGCUGCCUCCCGGGCCUGAGCCAUCGGGGCUCCAGGACAGGCCUGGCACCUCGUUCACCCAGAGUGGCAGUGGCUGUGUCUGUACCACGGGCCCUGAACAGUCGUGGACGCUGACCCACCCAGCCCUUGUGCUGGGUGCUUCUCUGGAUCAAGCUCCUGCCGCCUCACAGCCACCUUAUCAGGACGUUACUACAAAGCCCCAUUUAACAGAUGAGGAAACUGAGGCACUCUCUGUUAAGGCAUUGGCUAAGGUCAUACAGCCACCUGCAGCCUCCCCAGCAGUGAGUGUCCAGCUGUCAUUUGCACACCCUUCCGGAAGGAGACCUCAUCUCCCCGGGGGCAGCCCUGCCUGGUGCCUCUGCCUCAGUUUCCCCACCCACUCCUCCAGGCCAGGCCCACGAGGGGUGUCUAGCCCGGUCUUCGAAAGUCGCAGGGCAGGGACAGCAGGAAGCUGUGGCCGGCCCGCAGUGCUGGCUGGAAACGGCCAGCUGAGGUCGAGGGGCGCCCCGACCCCACACUCCUGCCGAGACAAGCCACCCUGGACGGCGGGGCGAGAACCCUGUCCUGCGGCGCCACCUCGUGGCCAAAGAGGCCGCCCGGCCCUUGCAGAGUCCGGGUGAGCGCAGGGCUGAGCUGGGGGCACGGCAGGAAGCCACCGGCCCCAGGAGCCCCUGUUCGCUGGGACACCGGAAAACGAUGAGUUCUCCACUCCCGGGCCCCAGUGCUGACCACCCCAGCUCGGGAGGAAUGAGGGGGGCGGUAGAGCUUGGUCCUGUGCCCUCCUGAGGGGCAGACUCACACAUCUGGCGACCUCCUGGACAUCUCUGCCCCACUCUUCACAGGCGUCCCAAACUCAACCGUUCAUCCAUCUAAUUCGUGCAUUUAUGGAGCCCUUACUAUAUGCCGAGCCCUCACUGUUCCAGGUGCUACAGAUGUAACAAUGAACAAAACAAAGAUCUCCGCCCUUGUGGAGCUUACAGUGGGACGUGCGG